UUAAUUGAAGCUAAAAACUAAGCAAAUUAUUGUUAAUAAUUAAAUUGAAUUUAAAAUAUUCCAAUUAAA
Molecule: transfer RNA, 69 nt
Filed under: Ceratina okinawana
Lineage: Eukaryota; Metazoa; Arthropoda; Insecta; Hymenoptera; Apidae
Description: tRNA-Asn
Source: RNAcentral